UUUUCUUAUUUUCUAGCCAUGAAUAGAUUGUCCAAAACCUACAGGAGCUCACCCAUGUCCUUCAGGGCCAUGGGCACAGCUCCCUUCUUUAAAAGUGACUGUGUUUGAACAGGAGCACUUCCAGGGCAAGUGUCUGGAGUUCAUGACCGCGGCCUGGACAACAUCCGCUCCAUCCGAGUGGAGAGUGGAGCGUGCGACAUUAAGAUUCCAGAGCCAGAAUUUGGUGUAAAUAGUACUGCGACUAGCGACCUGUCCGGGGUGUUCCCCACCUCUCGCCCUUUGACCUCUGGAGAUAGGCACCAGCAUCCCUGGUAACCUCUCCAGGGAUAAGCCUCUUUGUGUGCUGUGAGUAGCCGGGCUCCAGGGUACAUCAUGGAGUGUGAGAGGCACAGUGGAGAUAAUCAGCACUGGAGGAACUGGGGCUCCCACUGCCAGACACCAAACAUCCAGUCCAUCAAACGCAUCAGGCACCGAGGAGCCUCGUAUCGAGACCAGCAGCAGGUUGGACUUGAGCAAAAGAACCCCUGAGCUCGACCUCAGUUUGGUUCAGAGGGCUUUGGACCAUAACUACAACACAAACCAUGUGGGAUCUAGCAUCUACCUCCCAACCCCACCCAUAGUUUCUUUGUUUUAAGGAAUAUUUUGAUUUUGUACAAGUUAAAUAAAGUUUAGGCUGAGCAGAUAAAUAGUGCGGACAUGCAGGAAUGUGUUUUGACAUUUUGCACUGAACUUCACAUAAUAUUUUUGCACACUGUUACCUCAGUAUUGAGCCAGAAUGAUAUCAGAGUCUGAACAUUAAAACUUAAACCACGGCUUCAAAUAUGAGGAGGCAUCAGAAGAAAAUGGAAGAACAUGUUGCCAAGCAUGUACAGGUUUAGGGGCCACUGUGGAUGAAUUCAGCAAGUUUUAUUCUGUUACACAUAAAGAAACUUUUGAGAAAAUACCUAAUCAUUCAAAAAGAUAUUAUAAACACCUGAUGCAUAUAGAAGAAAAAGAAAACAUAUAGAUAAAUAAGCUUCUUUCUCAGUUGUUUUGUUAUUCUAAGUACUGGCAACUGACAACACAAAGAGUGGGACCAAUAUUCUUAAAAGAAAGAAAAAUUAGCUUCUCAUUUCUAAUGACUAAUUUAUGUACUAUAUUUCUGCAGAUCAUCACAGCAGACAGGCUUAUUAAAACAUAAAAAGCCCCAUGAGCAUCCUUCGGUAAACUGUUUUUAUUCAGCUGUGGAUUCAUGCAAUAAACAUCUGCUUAAUGAGCAUUUCUCGCAUUGCAAACGGUCACGAAUCCUGUCUCGAAGCGAAACUAAUUAACUUUAAUAGCUGCACACAAAACGGAGACAGGUGUCUCAAGAGUAACUUAAACAAUUUUUGAUUCGCAAAAAUUAGUGAGUAUUAUAAUAAUAACUAUGGAGCAAAAAUAGAUCAUUUGUAUUUAGCAUAAUCUUCCACCUUCCCUGAUUUGUAUCAGCUUGUGCUCAUUGUGCUUUUUUUACACAUGUAAUUAUCUUUAGAUUGUUUUUGUUUUAUUUAUUGUUUCAGUAACAGCGGUAUCACUUGUUGCUCCUCUCUGUCUCUAGUCUCUCUUAAAGAGAGUUAAUUUCAAACGGCCUAAAGAAUAAGACAAACUUAUUCUUUAAGAGUUUAUUUUAGGAGAGAUCAACCAUCAACCAUCUGAUCCGCUCUUCUUGAUUAAACAAGUGAACUCUCUGUCCUUGUUAUGUGAAUGCUGGUAUUUGAACAUACUCUGAAAGUUGAUUUGAGGAAUAAUUUUUAUCUCGUUCUUUACUUGCUGUUCUUCAGAGUUUCCAUGGAGAUACGUGUUUUUUUUUUUUUUUUUUUUUUUUUUUUACCCACUUAAUUUUAAAAGAGGGUGAAUAGAAAACACAAUGCACAUCUUGUAAGCAAAACGUAAUCGCUUUCAUCUAUUUUAAGCUCCUGCUUCAGUGUCUGGAGAAAAGAAAUAUCAGUAAAGACAACAGCAACUAUAUAUUAUUGCAAACUCUCAAAUAUAUGGGGAACAGUGCAAUAAGGAUGUUUCUCAGUUCACUAAAAUACGUGUUGUGCAACAAUCAAUCAAUCAAUUGUGCAUAAUAGUUAAUACGCCACAGAAUAUAGAUAACAUGUUCAGGUAUAAAUUCAAUCUCAAAUUGACCAAGAAAUGUGAUCUCCUAGUGUAAAACCAGCCAACCAAUUUUUUUUUUUUAUUUUUUAAAUCCAGCCAAUAAUGUUUCCUUACAGAAACAGAACCUCGCUUGGAGUGGGACAGAUUCAUCAUUGGAAGCACCUGCGCUUCACUGCAAUGACAUUGAAAAAUCUCCUGCAGAACAAAACAUCUCUAUAAGACCUAACAGCAGGUCUAAAAAAAA
Poecilia latipinna (sailfin molly) is the source of this 2365-nucleotide long non-coding RNA. RefSeq lists it as uncharacterized. NCBI's taxonomy places the organism in Eukaryota, Metazoa, Chordata, Actinopteri, Cyprinodontiformes, Poeciliidae. The record is from RefSeq and is a predicted model, not a curated record. The transcript has 4 exons.